RNAcentral lists this long non-coding RNA (219 nucleotides) under Olea europaea (common olive). RNAcentral describes it as "long non-coding RNA (OEUR_LNC010862)". Lineage: Eukaryota; Viridiplantae; Streptophyta; Magnoliopsida; Lamiales; Oleaceae. The record is from RNAcentral.
AAAAGUAGGGGGGCGAAUAGAGACUUCUAACAAAUCAGAAAUCCUAGCGCUAUCAAAAAGUGCCUUAGUAGGACCAUGACCCACAAGGCGAGCAUGCCACCUACGAAAAGCUACAUCAGAUUUAGGCCAAGUGCGAAUACCUCUUUCGCGAAGUGGCCCCAGCGGCAGAGAGUUUAGAAAAGGAGGGCCAUGAGUGCAAGGAAACAGCUGACCCACCGC